CUCAAGAGAAAAGUUUCGAACAGGGCAGAAGUCCGAUGUUCACGUCUGUGUUUCUUCUGUGGUAGUCAGGAGAAGAUUAAAAGAUGCACAUUUGAAGUCCUGACGUCAGAGAUCACGUGGCAUGCAAUGUCCACAGCAACAUCUUGUUCACUUAGCUGAUUAGUUUUUCUUUUGUUUUUAUAACUCCGAGAGAUAUUGGAGGAAAUAUAUGGGAUUAAAUGCACCUUUAAACAACGAUAAAUGAAUAAGACAACUAAGCUCACAAGCUACUUCGUAACCAGCAGCUAGCUGAAGUAUCACUGUCGUUCAUUGGUUGUUGACAGAUACAGUCACGGACAUCCGGUACCUUUGCCAACUUGUGCUCAAUCAUGGCCACCACGGGAGCCUGCGGUGUAAGGAGGAGUGUUGCUUUCAUCAAAUCCCUACUACAGAGCGAACAAGGCUUGUUCUGAUUGGCCGGCCCUGGGGAAAGGAGAUAUCAUGUUUAGCCCCAAACCAACAUGCAUCCCUCAUCCACCAUGCUCCGCCACAACGAUUGUGUGUCUUUCUGUGUGUGUGUGUGUGUGUGUGUGUGUGUGUGUGUGAGAGUGAGAGAGAAAGAGAGAAAUAGCACAAGAGAGAGUCAGAGGGAGGUCUGCGCGUUCAGGCGAUCACACACUCUCGCUCUUUCUGCUAAAGUGCUUCUCGUCUGCCCGGCCGAAGCUGAUGAGCUAUGACAUCACAGCACUUUGUUUUAUCUUUAAAAGAUGAGCAGGGAGCCCUUCACUUCCCCUUAAUGAGGCCGAGGUGCCCACACACACACACACACACACUACAUGGUGAGUAUGCAUGUGUGUGUCCGUGCUUGGUCCACCGUUCCCCGCCACUAAUGUUGUUGCGUGCAAACGCCGCGCUAAGGUGCGGGCGCGCUUCUGGUUUCCUGCACACUCUCGCUAACACCCAUUUUACCCAUAACCCCUGGCGUUUCCUGUCCUGCAGCCAUGUGUCAGACCUCAUUGGCUAGCGCAUCAAUAACACACACGCUCGCUCACAUCCCGACAUCACAUCCUACUGGCAACAUAUCUCCACACACCGCUUCACCACAUUUCUGUGGCUAUCAGGUCCAGUUGGAUUUUGUUACUUCCAUCUUUGAUGAGAGUUCAUUAUUCCACAUUGAAAAUAAUAGAAGUAGAAAUCAUCUGUUCCAGUGUCAAACUGUAUUUAAAACUUGCCUGGGUUCAAACCAGGGUCAGCAGAAUGGGAGUCAAGAGUGCAAGCCGUCGAGCUGUCAACUUUGAUGAUGCUUAAGGUGUCAGGUGUUAGUAGUCAA
Molecule: non-coding RNA, 1309 nt
Organism: Doryrhamphus excisus (bluestripe pipefish)
Lineage: Eukaryota; Metazoa; Chordata; Actinopteri; Syngnathiformes; Syngnathidae
Source: RefSeq, a predicted model, not a curated record